UUUUUAAAUAACUUCUGUUUGCGAUCUAAUGUGGAUUUUGUUCACCAUAUAAGAUAGAAAUAUUUAUAUUCAAUGUAAAAGAUCUUCAUGUGGAUCGUGCAUACAAAUAUAUAUACAAAUAUCUCACUGGAUUAUUACAAUUAAUGGCAAAAUGAAUGUGUGGAAAUGUAAACUAAUAUAUCCUACUGACACACAGCAGCAAAAGAUAAAUAAUUGGCUUAAAACAGUUUUUUUUUCAAUGUGAAAAUACUAACACUAAUACUUCUGCACAGUACUGUAUAUAUUAACAUUUUAUUAGUGUUAUUAUAAAAGAAUGAGUAUGCAGUUGUGACAACAAUCUAUAGAGUUUUUAAUGAGAGUUUGUUUAAAGCAAGGUUGUCUGUAUUCAGUGUUUAUAUAAUGUUUAAUAACUUUUAUAUACAUAUAUAAAUAAACCUAUGUAUGUUUUUGAUUCAACAGCUUCCACUGGAAAUCCUCAGGGAAGUUAUUUUGUCGGCGGGUGACUCUGCAUAUUUGACACUUUCUCUGGUUUGCAGAUGGUUUAGGGUUGUGCUCCGAAGUUUUUCGGAAAGCGGCACAGUUUGCCUGGCUAGACAUUGUGGCCAACUGGAAGAAUUGUCCUCCUGUCUCCUGACUGGAACGAGUUCAGACGGAUGUACAGCAUCAGGGAAUGCUUGCAGUGCAGAGCCCUUUUCAAGGUUAACCCACCAGGGUACAGGGAAGGGACCGGCGUGGUGAUCUUCUGGGCUUUUGUUUACACAGGAUUUUGUUCCAAGGACUUUUUUUUUUUUGCGGCAUGAAACACAUUUGUGUGUUAAGUUCAUUGAAGGGAAAUAACUGGUUUUGAUUAUUAAUUGAUGUAAUUUAAAGUUAAACUUUGCACUGUAUAAUGUUUUAAUAAAAAAGCUAUGGAAAACACGUGCAUGACAACAGGUUUCAGUCAUUUACAUCAGUCUAUCAUUCUUUAAGGUUUCUCAUAUUUGAUGAUAACAUGAUUUGCUAUGCAUUGCUCAUAAUGGAUUCUUAGUUUAGUUGUGACAGGAUUGUGAGGAUUAAUGAGGUUUUCAGUAGUGCAGUUCAGAAAACAAAUAACAGAAAGUAACAAGUGUUUUUUGGCAAGUUCUUUAGAACCUGUAUAGUUCCUUCCUUGCAAAAAGUAACCAUGGAUUUAUUGUAGUAAAAAUAUUUGUUGGCACAUUAAUUACUGUGAGCUGUAAUUAUAAAAACACCAUAGUUUUACUAUAGUUACUGUAGCAGAACCAUAGUAAAUUUUCGUAGGGGCCAAGGGAAUGUUCAGAAUAUUAUUGGUGACGUUCAGAGACUGGUGACAAUUUGUUACACACACGACACACACACACACACAUAUAUAUGUAUGUAUAUAUUAUUUGAAUAUAUAAAUCAAGGUACUCCAUGACUAUCUACAUAACCAUACUUCGCAUAAUAUUGCCGUGUCAUUUUCAAACCAGCAAGUAAUGCCGAGGUAGCGUCUACACUACAGCCAUUGAGGGAGUAGACCAUUUAAUUUUUUCUGUUCGUCGUAAUCCAAAACUCUUUGUAUUUAUACGGGAUGUUAUGGAAAUGCAACAAUAAAUGCAAAAACACAACAUGUAUAUUCACUUUUUAAUUUAUAUUAAAAGUUUAUUCAUCUUAGUGUCUACUUCCGCAUUCCAAUCCUGCUAAUAGCGUCAUAAUUCUCUAUACCAAUAAGCUGUAAAAUCGUCACUCAUCUGUACACCAAUAAGCUCAUCUUAAUCAUAAACCAAUAACCGCUGAGGUGGGCGGGGCGACACGUGUCGCUCCGCCCCAACGUGUCGCCCCGCCCCAUCGUCCAGACUGCACUCUGGGAUACUUGGGUAAAGGAGGUAUUGGGGUUUAAUUUUCCAAAGUAAAUGUUACAAAAAUAAUUCAAUCAACUGCAAAAUCUAUAUUAGGGCAGUUGAUAAUAGAAAAGGCGAAUAAAUCAAAAUACAAGUAUGCAUCACUUCAUAAUCGCAUAUUAAGAUGAUUAAUUUUCC
Molecule: long non-coding RNA, 2015 nt
Organism: Carassius auratus (goldfish)
Lineage: Eukaryota; Metazoa; Chordata; Actinopteri; Cypriniformes; Cyprinidae
Source: Ensembl